This 456-nucleotide long non-coding RNA is filed under the name Androctonus crassicauda. The record is from RNAcentral. Lineage: Eukaryota; Metazoa; Arthropoda; Arachnida; Scorpiones; Buthidae.
UGUUUGGGCACUAAUUUAUUUGUCACAUGAAUGCUACAAUUAAACUAAUUGGAAGAAUGACUAUAAAUAUGACAGAUUACAUUGCCAAUAAUAAAAUCAGUAGUAAACACAGGCUUAGUACAGUUAGUAAUAGGUAAUAAAAAAGAAAGGCUACAUAAAGAUAUUUAAUUAGUUGAUUAAACCAACUGUUUAACUGACCUAAAAGCUUUUUCUGCAAAUGUUUCUUGGUUUAACUUGUGAUUUCCAAAAUAUAUUUAAUUUUGUUAAGAAAUCUUUGAAGUAUGGUCUGAAUUUUGCUGUAAACAACCAGUACCAUCUAGUUGAUGUUUGUGGGAUUGAAAGAAAAACAUGCACAAUAGCUUCUUUGAAGCUGUUGACUGCUUUGAUAUUGAAAAACAAAACAGGUGGUUUCUGCUAUAAAAACUAAGUAUUAAUCAGCUUAUUCAUGUGAGGAAU